CGGCGAGUGAAGCGGCAACAGCUCAAAUUUGAAAUCUGGCUCUUUCAGGGUCCGAGUUGUAAUUUGCAGAGGGCGCUUUGGCGUUGGCAGCGGUCCAAGUUCUUUGGAACAGGACGUCACAGAGGGUGAGAAUCCCGUACGUGGUCGCUAGCCUUCGCCGUGUAAAGCCCCUUCGACGAGUCGAGUUGUUUGGGAAUGCAGCUCUAAAUGGGAGGUAAAUUUCUUCUAAAGCUAAAUACUGGCCAGAGACCGAUAGCGCACAAGUAGAGUGAUCGAAAGAUGAAAAGCACUUUGGAAAGAGAGUCAAAUAGCACGUGAAAUUGUUGAAAGGGAAGCGCUUGCAGCCAGACUUGCCUGUAGUUGCUUAUCUGGACUUUUGUCCGGUGCACUCUUCUGCGGGCAGGCCAGCAUCAGUUUGGGCGGUUGGAUAAAGGUCUCUGUCAUGUACCUCCUUUCGGGGAGGCCUUAUAGGGGAGACGACAUGCAACCAGCCUGGACUGAGGUCCGCGCAUCUGCUAGGAUGCUGGCGUAAUGGCUGUAAGCGGCCCGUCUUGAAACACGGACCAAGGAGUCUAACAUCUAUGCGAGUGUUUGGGUGUCAAGCCCAGACGCGUAAUGAAAGUGAACGGAGGUGGGAACCCUUUGGGUGCACCAUCGACCGAUCCUGAUGUCUUCGGAUGGAUUUGAGUAAGAGCAUGGCUGUUGGGACCCGAAAGAUGGUGAACUAUGCUUGAAUAGGGUGAAGCCAGAGGAAACUCUGGUGGAGGCUCGCAGCGGUUCUGACGUGCAAAUCGAUCGUCAAAUUUGGGCAUA
RNAcentral lists this ribosomal RNA (813 nucleotides) under Phaeosphaeria musae. Its description in RNAcentral is "eukaryotic LSU rRNA". It matches the Rfam family "Eukaryotic large subunit ribosomal RNA", at positions 87 to 919 of the family's 3401-position model. The record is from RNAcentral. Lineage: Eukaryota; Fungi; Ascomycota; Dothideomycetes; Pleosporales; Phaeosphaeriaceae.